GACGAACGCUGGCGGCGUGCUUAACACAUGCAAGUCGAACGGAAAGGCCCUGCUUUUGUGGGGUGCUCGAGUGGCGAACGGGUGAGUAACACGUGAGUAACAUGCCCUUGACUUUGGGAUAACUUCAGGAAACUGGGGCUAAUACCGGAUAGGAGCUCCUGCUGCAUGGUGGGGGUUGGAAAGUUUCGGCGGUUGGGGAUGGACUCGCGGCUUAUCAGCUUGUUGGUGGGGUAGUGGCUUACCAAGGCUUUGACGGGUAGCCGGCCUGAGAGGGUGACCGGCCACAAUGGGACUGAGAUACGGCCCAGACUCCUACGGGAGGCAGCAGUGGGGAAUAUUGCACAAUGGGCGGAAGCCUGAUGCAGCAACGCCGCGUGCGGGAUGACGGCCUUCGGGUUGUAAACCGCUUUCGCCUGUGACGAAGCGUGAGUGACGGUAAUGGGUAAAGAAGCACCGGCUAACUACGUG
Molecule: ribosomal RNA, 468 nt
Filed under: uncultured bacterium
Lineage: Bacteria
Description: partial 16S ribosomal RNA
Rfam family: Bacterial small subunit ribosomal RNA
Source: RNAcentral